Helianthus annuus (common sunflower) is the source of this 1598-nucleotide long non-coding RNA. RefSeq lists it as uncharacterized. Lineage: Eukaryota; Viridiplantae; Streptophyta; Magnoliopsida; Asterales; Asteraceae. The transcript has 3 exons. The record is from RefSeq and is a predicted model, not a curated record.
GAGAAUAAAUGCUUUAAAAAAAUAAGUUUAUAAGAAGCCCGAGUUAACGGAAGUUAAAAUAAAACGGGUUAUAACUCUCGGGACCCACUAAGUAACUAGGAAUAUCAACCUAGUUAGUUAAGUGUUUUAAAAUAAUGAAGGAACUUGAUAUAGUAACCUUUUUAUAACUUUUAGAAACUAGAGGGACUAAAAGGGUUAAGUGAGAAAAUAAUUAUUAUUAAAACAAAAAUUAAAAACCCAAAACACACACUUGGUGUGUGUUCUGGUCGUAGAUUACACAGGGGGCGAACAAGGUUUCUUCAACCAAACCCUAACUAGCUAAAAAUCAAGCAAUUGGAAGGCCAAAUCAGUCCCAAAUCGAAAUCCAAGCUUAUUUUAGUGAUCACCUAAGCGAAGGGAUCACAAGUUUGACUCUGACAAGCUUGGUAGGAGCUUGGAAAUGAAUGGGUCAAAUGGAUACAAGUUCAAGUAUGAAGCUCGCAAGGAUGCAAGGAGUGAACCGGAAAUGGAUAAUUGCGUCGCUAUAAAGUAACGGCUAAUAAAAGCAAGGUAUAAAACGAGUUUAUAUAUUGACCCGAGCCAGGUACGCAUAAACAAGCUUUUAGUUAAACGUACGAUUCUUGGUCAAUUAAUUAGCGAAAGUCCUUCAUUGUAAAAUGAAGGAUUAAAAUUGACCAAAAAGCCCUCAUUGGGUAAAGCGGGCAAACGAACCCUAGAGAUUGUUUAGGAACUUGUAUUAUGAUUAUGUAACCCUUUUGAUACGUAUAAGAAUAUAGGCAUAAACUUUCGUGGGUCAAAUGCCUAAGAAUGGGUCUUUUUAGUAAAAUGACUAACCGAAAAAUAAUACUCGGGAUAAUCGGUUUAUUGUAUUAAUUCACCACAAAAAUAGCUGUGGUGAAACAUAAGUAGACAUCUUAAAUGUAAAAAUGUGAAGUACGAAAAGAGAUGAGUGAAAUUGAUGCUUAAAUGCAUAAAAACCGUUAAACGGGUCAAAAUAAAGCAAGUGAUUAAGAUUGGCUAAGUGUUGGAAAAUUUCAAAAUAAACCGGUGAAUGUAAACACGAAUACAAACCUUGUAAUGGAAGCGAAAAUGCUAAUUUUUGGCAAGCACGGAAUGGGUAAAAACGAUCAGCAAUGAAUAUUGUUAAUAAACUUGUAGUAUGAUGUUAAAAGUAACGGGUCAAAUAAUCACACAAAGGAUUUUUAAGUCGUUUGCUUAUAAAUCAGAUUUUUAUGAAACCGAGGUGAUAAACGGAUUCGUAAUUUAAUUACGGAAGCAUGUAAAAAAAAGAAUUACGCGAAACGGACUUGUAGAUAAAAAGUAUGGAACUUGUUUAUACUUGUUUUUAAGUUAUCAAAACUAACCAUUAAGUUGGUUUUUGAUGUUAGGUGAAUGUAGCUACCAUCCGGGUGUCGAUCAAGCAAUGAAGUGAACCGAACACUAUGCAGUUACAAGCUUCCGCACAUAGUUUCGUCAUUAUUUUUAAACGACGAACUCAAUUAAUUACGUUGUAUUGUUCUUUAAUUGUAAAAGUUUUAAUAAACCCGUAUUUUUCAAUAUAUGUGUAUCCAUAAUUACAUAUUUAUUUUCGUAAACCA